UAGCAACACUGGGGGAGCCUUCCUGGCUGAGACUGAACGCAUUGUUCUAAACCCUUUGAACCUGAUCUGGAUGAUGCCAGCGUAGGGAAGUGCCACUGCACAGCU
This 105-nucleotide non-coding RNA is filed under the name Fictibacillus enclensis. Its description in RNAcentral is "TPP sequence". It matches the Rfam family "TPP riboswitch aptamer (THI element)". From Rfam's summary of the family: Vitamin B(1) in its active form thiamin pyrophosphate (TPP) is an essential coenzyme that is synthesised by coupling of pyrimidine and thiazole moieties in bacteria. The record is from Rfam by way of RNAcentral. Lineage: Bacteria; Bacillati; Bacillota; Bacilli; Caryophanales; Fictibacillaceae.